GCACCUCCAUCCUCUCGGUAACCUCCAGCGACUCGGAAUGUGAUACAAGGCCACCUACAUCCCAAGCCAGCUGGAGGAGCAGCUUCCAGUCUUCAGAGAUGGGCCCCUCUUCUUCAGUUGGCCUUGGUAGUCAGGACAGAGGACAGAGGGAUAUAUUGUAACAUAUAUUGUAAAAUUUGAGCCACAUACACGGGAUAAAUGACAACGCAAAUAAUCAUCUCCGAAAAGAAAUCUGACAUCCGACGACUUAGAGG
This 254-nucleotide long non-coding RNA is filed under the name Homo sapiens (human). RNAcentral describes it as "HSALNT0030987". Lineage: Eukaryota; Metazoa; Chordata; Mammalia; Primates; Hominidae. The record is from RNAcentral.